AUGAGUAUCAUCUGCUGGAACUAUCGAGGCCUGGGGUCGGACUCGAUAGUUGACGAGCUUCGCUGGCUUGUGAAGCUCUACCGACCCUCCCUCCUCUUUCUUUCUGAAACAAAGAUGAGGGAUUCGUGGGUGAGGAAUUUCAUGUGGUCAUUGGGUUUUUCAUGCUGUUAUGCUAUCAACAGUGAGGGGCUCAGUGACGGUCUUGCUUUGUUU
RNAcentral lists this ribosomal RNA (213 nucleotides) under Triticum aestivum (bread wheat). RNAcentral describes it as "partial small subunit ribosomal RNA". The record is from RNAcentral. Lineage: Eukaryota; Viridiplantae; Streptophyta; Magnoliopsida; Poales; Poaceae.